GAGGGCACGCCUGCCUGGGUGUCA
Molecule: ribosomal RNA, 24 nt
Filed under: Cullen corylifolium
Lineage: Eukaryota; Viridiplantae; Streptophyta; Magnoliopsida; Fabales; Fabaceae
Description: partial 5.8S ribosomal RNA
Source: RNAcentral